AUCUUUUUUAUAGAUUUAUGAAACAUUUGACCUAUUUUUUAAUAAUUGCUUAUAAAAGUUUUAUUCUUGCUUAUGUGUUUGUUUGUUGAAUAGUUUACAUGAAAAUUUUUGUAGGGAAUAAUUAUAUCUAGAAGAUAAAUUUAUUAUUCUCAGUAUUUAAUAUUAAUAAUCAAAGAAAUUUGGAAUUAGUAAUUUAAUAUAAAAUUGGCUAAAAUUGUGCCAGCCGCCGCGGUUAGACUUAGGAUUUAAGUAAGUAGUAUUGGUAUGGAAGUUAACAAUUAUAGUAAGAAAUAUAUAAUUUCUUUUUGAGGGUGGAAUUUUUAGAAAGAAUAUAAGAUUUUUAUAAAGUGAGGCUUUGAAAUUUAAAUAAUAAACUAGGAUUAGAUACCCUAUUAUUUUAAAUGUAAAUAUUUUAUACCGGGGUAGUAAUAGUUAAGGGCUUGAAACCCAAAGAAUUUGGCGGUGUUUUAGUCUUUUCAGAGGAAUCUGCCCUGUAAUAGAUAAUACACGUUAUAUGUAACUUAGUUUUGUAGAUCAGUUUGUAUACCUCCGUCGUAAGAUUAUCUUUUUAGAGGUUAAAUUUUCAAUAUUUCUUAUAAGGAAAUUAUGUCAGGUCAAGGUGCAGCUUAUAAUUAAGUAAGAGGUGGAUUACAAUAAAGGUAUUUAUAUGGAUAUUGUAUUGAAAUAUAUAAUGGAAGGUGGAUUUGAAAGUAAUGUUGUUAAAUUAUGAUAACAUGAUUAUAGCUCUAGAACAUGUACACAUCGCCCGUCGCUCUCAUUAUUAAGGUGAGAUAAGUCGUAACAAAGUAGAUGUACUGGAAAGUGUAUCUAGAAUGU
Molecule: non-coding RNA, 837 nt
Filed under: Conocephalus melaenus
Lineage: Eukaryota; Metazoa; Arthropoda; Insecta; Orthoptera; Tettigoniidae
Source: RNAcentral